This 522-nucleotide unclassified non-coding RNA is filed under the name Hevea brasiliensis (rubber tree). Lineage: Eukaryota; Viridiplantae; Streptophyta; Magnoliopsida; Malpighiales; Euphorbiaceae. The record is from RNAcentral.
AGGCCGUAUUGGAUCAAAACGGGAACCUGAUUCAGCAAGUGAACGAGAACCACCAGUCCAUGGUACCAGAUAAUCUCACCAAGAACGUGUCCUUUAUUCGCGAGAUUAAUGGAAAUAUCUCCAAGGUCAUCUCCAUUUACUCCGAUUUAUCUCUCAAGUUCUCCAAAGUUGUGCAGGAACGGCGUCGCAUUAAGAACGAAAGCAGUGUGGAGAGAUCCGAUUCCUGAAUUUCGAUCGAUGAAUUUUAAGUAAUCUCAACUACCUUUAUUUAUCUUAUUGGUCGAUUAAUAAGCAUUUUGUAUGAGGUCGUGUCAGGGUCUUAUUGGAUUCCCAAGUGUUUGUGGUGUAGUGAGUCGGUGAGUCUUAGUUAUGCUUACUGUGUGGUGUGGUCUCUUUAACUAUGCUAGCGUGUUGCGGUUACGGUGGUUGUGGCGGUGGACGCCAUAACAAUAAUGGUUUGCUUAUGUGGUCUUUGUUCUUAUGUUUGUUUGUGUUUUUUAAGGAUGAUUUCAUGGCUGCGGG